Molecule: ribosomal RNA, 312 nt
Filed under: uncultured bacterium
Lineage: Bacteria
Description: bacterial SSU rRNA
Rfam family: Bacterial small subunit ribosomal RNA
Source: RNAcentral
AAUCAACGCUGGCGGCGUGCCUAACACAUGCAAGUCGAACGCGAAAGGGGCUUCGGCCCUGAGUAGAGUGGCGAACGGGUGAGUAACACGUGGGUGAUCUACCUUCGAGUGGGGGAUAACGUCCCGAAAGGGACGCUAAUACCGCAUGACGUUCCGGGUUUAAAGACCUGGAAACCAAAGCCGGGGACCGCAAGGCCUGGCGCUUGGAGAGGAGCCCGCGUCCGAUUAGCUAGUUGGCGGGGUAACGGCCCACCAAGGCGACGAUCGGUAGCCGGCCUGAGAGGGCGGACGGCCACACUGGGACUGAGACAC